RNAcentral lists this ribosomal RNA (1263 nucleotides) under uncultured Ascomycota. RNAcentral's name for it is "eukaryotic LSU rRNA". The stretch from base 629 to 1263 matches the Rfam family "Eukaryotic large subunit ribosomal RNA", at positions 1 to 649 of the family's 3401-position model. The record is from RNAcentral. Lineage: Eukaryota; Fungi; Ascomycota.
AAGGAUCAUUACUGAGGUUGUCACUUCUCCGGAGGUGUUACCCGUCCUUAUGUCAUACGCACGGGCCACGUGUGCCUGUGGUAUGCCUCCGCGAGGAGGUAUGCUGCGGGCUGCGCGGAACGAGACUGUAUUUCCGCCGAGGUGGCGUGCUUCUUUCCUCCCUCGAGUGAUCGAGAUGGAGCGUAAUACGUCCGCGGCGGGCCCCAAUAUUUACAAUUCUUGCGAGAACUUGAAGUCUGAAUACCAAUUGAAAAAUUUAAAAAAGCAAAACUUUCAACAACGGAUCUCUUGGCUCUGGCAACGAUGAAGAACGCAGCGAAACGCGAAAGGUAAUGCGAAUUGCAGAAUCAGUGAGUCAUCGAAUCUUUGAACGCACAUUGCGCCUCUAGGUAUUCCUGGAGGCACGCCUGUUCGAGCGCCAUUACACACUCCAAGCCCUGCUUGAUGUUGGACCGUCCGAGUUGAAUCGGAGGUCUGGAACGUGUAGGCGUUGGGCGUCGGACCACGAGCGUAGCAAGACUUUUAAUCGGUCACGAUCGUUCUGUGGAGCCGGCGUUCGACGGUCUUUUUCCUUCUCUCUCUCACUCUUUUGGGGGGGCGAGAGGAGCUUUUUUACCAUUAAAAAGUUUGGCCUCGGAUCAGGCGGGGGAUACCCGCUGAACUUAAGCAUAUCAAUAAGCGGAGGAAAAGAAACCAACCGGGAUUGCCCCAGUAACGGCGAGUGAAGCGGCAACAGCUCAAAUUUGAAAUCUGGCGGUCUGACCGUCCGAGUUGUAAUUUGUAGAGGGAGUCUCGGGUUGAGGGUCGGUCCAAGUCUCUUGGAACAGAAUACCGCAGAGGGUGAGAGUCCCGUCUCCGGCCGACACCGACGCCCAUGUGAGGCCCCUUCGACGAGUCGAGUUGUUUGGGAAUGCAGCUCUAAAUGGGUGGUAAAUUCCAUCUAAGGCUAAAUACCGGCCAGAGACCGAUAGCGAACAAGUAGAGUGAUCGAAAGAUGAAAAGCACUUUGAAAAGAGAGUCAAACAGUACGUGAAAUUGUUGAAAGGGAAGCGUAUGAGGGCAGACUUGGCCGCGAGUGUUCUCCCCGUCUUCUGGCGGGGUUACUCUCUCGCGGACAGGCCAGCAUCGGUUUCCGGGGCCGGACAAAGACGUUGGGAAUGUGGCUCUCUUCGGAGAGUGUUAUAGCCCGGCGUGCAAUGCGGCCUCUGGGGACCGAGGACCGCGCUUUAUGCAAGGAUGCUGGCGUAAUGGCCUUAUACGGCC